CCGGCGAGUUACUAAUAUUAGCGAGGUUAAAUACUAACAAGGUAUGGAGCCGAAGGGAAACCGAGUCUGAAAAGGGCGAGAAGUUAGUAUUAGUAGACCCGAAACCGGGUGACCUAUCCAUGUCCAGGUUGAAGUUACCGUAAAAGGUAAUGGAGGACCGAACGCACAUCUGUUGAAAAAGGUGGCGAUGAGGUGUGGAUAGCGGAGAAAUUCCAAUCGAACUCGGAGAUAGCUGGUUCUCCUCGAAAUAGCUUUAGGGCUAGCCUCGAGAGGAGUCUAACGGAGGUAAAGCACUGAACUGACGCGGGGCCCAAAAAGGUUACCAACUCAAAUCAAACUAAGAAUGCCGUCAAGAUACCCUCGGGAGUCAGACUACGGGAGAUAAGUUUCGUGGUCAAAAGGGAAAGAGCCCAGACCGACAGCUAAGGUCCCAAAGUGUGUGUUAAGUGGAAAAGGAUGUGGGAUUUCGUAGACAACUAGGAUGUUGGCUUAGAAGCAGCCAUACAUUUAAAGAGUGCGUAAUAGCUCACUAGUCGAGAGAACCUGCGCCGAAAAUAAUCGGGGCUAAAACACACCACCGAAGCUACGGAUUUCCUGCUUAAGGCAGGAAGUGGUAGAGGAGCAUACUGCAAGGACGAAGCCUGAUUGAGAGAGAAGGUGGACGAAGCAGUAGAGAGAAUGCCGGAAUGAGUAGCGAGAUAUAUGUGAGAACCAUAUAGGCCGAAUAUCUAAGGAUUCCUGAGUGAAGCUAAUCUGCUCAGGGUAAGUCGGGACCUAAGGCGAGGACGAGAGUCGUAGUCGAUGGACAACUGGUAGAGAUUCCAGUACUAUGUAUAAUCAGAACUGUGGGGACGCAGGAGGAUAGAUGGACCGCGGAAAGGGAAGACGCGGCCAAGUACAAAGUCAAGUUAGGUAGGCAAAUCCGCCAAAUGAUGAUGAAGUACGACGGGGACUGAAAGAAAGUAAGGAAGUCAUUGAAUCCACACUGCCGAGAAAAGCCGCUAUAGUGUUAUACAUACCCGUACCGUAAACCGACACAGGUAGAUGAGGAGAAAAUCCACAGGCCGACGGGAGAAGUGUUGUUAAGGAACUCGGCAAAAUGACCCCGUAACUUAGGGAGAAGGGGAGCCACGAGAGUGGUCACAGAAAAGAGGCUCAAGCAACUGUUUAGCAAAAACACAGGUCUAUGCGAAACCGAAAGGUGAAGUAUAUGGGCUGACACCUGCCCGGUGCUGGAAGGUUAAGAGGAGAGGUUAGCCGCAAGGCGAAGCUUUGAAUUCAAGCCCCAGUAAACGGCGGCCGUAACUAUAACGGUCCUAAGGUAGCGAAAUUCCUUGUCAGGUAAGUUCUGACCCGCACGAAAGGUGUAAUGAUUUGAGCACUGUCUCGACAACACGCCCGGUGAAAUUGAAGAACCAGUGAAGAUACUGGUUACCCGCAACAGGACGGAAAGACCCCAUGGAGCUUUACUGCAGCCUGAUACUGGGAUUCGAUGAUGCAUGUACAGGAUAGGUGGGAGACUGCGAAGGUAGGACGCCAGUCUUGCCGGAGUCGCCGGUGGGAUACCUCUCUUACAUCAUUGGAUUUCUAACCUGCAUCCGUGAACCGGAUGAGGGACAAUGUCAGGCGGGCAGUUUGACUGGGGCGGUCGCCUCCAAAAGAGUAACGGAGGCGCUCAAAGGUCUUCUCAGAAUGAUUGGAAACCAUUCAAAGAGUGUAAAGGCAAAAGAAGGCUUGACUGCGAGGUCGACGGACCGAGCAGGUACGAAAGUAGGACUUAGUGAUCCGGUGGUAAUACGUGGGAAUGCCAUCGCUCAACGGAUAAAAGCUACCCUGGGGAUAACAGGCUGAUCUCCCCCAAGAGUUCACAUCGACGGGGAGGUUUGGCACCUCGAUGUCGGCUCAUCGCAUCCUGGGGCUGAAGUAGGUCCCAAGGGUUGGGCUGUUCGCCCAUUAAAGCGGUACGCGAGCUGGGUUCAGAACGUCGUGAGACAGUUCGGUCCCUAUCCGUUGUGGGCGUAGGAAAUUUGAGAGGAGCUGUCCUUAGUACGAGAGGACCGGGAUGGACGAACCGCUGGUGUAUCUGUUGCAUACCAAAUGCACGGCAGAGUAGCUAAGUUCGGAACGGAUAAACGCUGAAGGCAUCUAAGCGUGAAGCCGCCCUCAAGAUGAGAUUUCCCAUUCGAAAGAAGUAAGACCCCUUGAAGACUACGAGGUAGAUAGGUCAGAGGUGUAAGUGCGGUAACGUAUUGAGCUUACUGAUACUAAUAGGUCGAGGGCUUGACCGA
RNAcentral lists this ribosomal RNA (2288 nucleotides) under human gut metagenome. Its description in RNAcentral is "bacterial LSU rRNA". It matches the Rfam family "Bacterial large subunit ribosomal RNA", at positions 620 to 2925 of the family's 2925-position model. The record is from RNAcentral.